Molecule: ribosomal RNA, 220 nt
Filed under: uncultured Lactobacillus sp.
Lineage: Bacteria; Bacillati; Bacillota; Bacilli; Lactobacillales; Lactobacillaceae
Description: partial 16S ribosomal RNA
Rfam family: Bacterial small subunit ribosomal RNA
Source: RNAcentral
UAACAACCUGGAAACAGAUGCUAAUAACCGGAUAACAACAGAUGAUGCCUAUCAACUGUUUAAAAGAUGGUUCUGCUAUCACUCUUUGGAUGGACCUGCGGUGCAUUAGCUAGUUGGUAGGGUAACGGCCUACCAAGGCGAUGAUGCAUAGCCGAGUUGAGAGACUGAUCGGCCACAUUGGGACUGAGACACGGCCCAAACUCCUACGGGAGGCAGCAGA